GAUGAACGCUGGCGGCGUGCCUAAUACAUGCAAGUCGAGCGAACAGACGAUGAGCGUGCUCCUCUGACGUUGGCGGGGGACGGAUGAGUAACACAUGCAUAACCUACCUAUAAGACUGGGAUAACAACGUGGGGCCGGUGCCGAUACUGGAUCAUAUAUUCAACGGCUUGGUUCAAUAGUUAAAGAGGGUUUUGCUGUCACUUAUAGAUGGAUCCGUGAUGCAUUAGCUAGUUGGUAAGGUAACGGCCUACCAAGGCGACGAUGCGUAGCCGACCUGAGAGGGUGAUCAGCCACACUGGAACUGAGACACGGUACAGACUCCUACGGGAGGCAGCAGUAGGGAAUCUUGGGCAAUGGGCGAAAGCCUGACGGAGCAACGCCGCGUGGGUGAAGAAGGUCUUCGGGUCGUAAAACUCUGUUAUUGGGGAAGAACAAAUGCGUAAGUAACUAUGCAUGUCUUGACGGUACCUAAACAGAAAGCCACGGCUAACUACGUG
This 497-nucleotide ribosomal RNA is filed under the name uncultured bacterium. RNAcentral describes it as "partial 16S ribosomal RNA". It matches the Rfam family "Bacterial small subunit ribosomal RNA", at positions 28 to 507 of the family's 1533-position model. The record is from RNAcentral.